UAAUAAGUUCUUCUUCGGGGU
Caenorhabditis elegans is the source of this 21-nucleotide non-coding RNA. The record is from Ensembl. Lineage: Eukaryota; Metazoa; Nematoda; Chromadorea; Rhabditida; Rhabditidae.